CCUACGGGCGGCUGCAGUGGGGAAUAUUGCACAAUGGGGGAAACCCUGAUGCAGCGACGCCGCGUGAGUGAAGAAGUAUUUCGGUAUGUAAAGCUCUAUCAGCAGGGAAGAAAAUGACGGUACCUGAUUCAGAAGCCCCGGCUAACUACGUGCCAGCAGCCGCGGUAAUACGUAGGGGGCAAGCGUUAUCCGGAUUUACUGGGUGUAAAGGGAGCGUAGACGGCAGCACAAGUCUGGAGUGAAAUGCCGGGGCUUAACCCCGGAACUGCUUUGGAAACUGUGCAGCUAGAGGGCAGGAGAGGUAAGUGGAAUUCCUAGUGUAGCGGUGAAAUGCGUAGAUAUUGGGAGGAACACCAGUGGCGAAGGCGGCUUACUGGACUGUAACUGACGUUGAGGCUCGAAAGCGUGGGGAGCAAACAGGAUUAGAUACCCCUGUAGUC
This 440-nucleotide ribosomal RNA is filed under the name uncultured bacterium. Its description in RNAcentral is "partial 16S ribosomal RNA". It matches the Rfam family "Bacterial small subunit ribosomal RNA", at positions 338 to 795 of the family's 1533-position model. The record is from RNAcentral.